RNAcentral lists this ribosomal RNA (208 nucleotides) under uncultured Hyphomicrobium sp. RNAcentral's name for it is "partial 16S ribosomal RNA". It matches the Rfam family "Bacterial small subunit ribosomal RNA", at positions 568 to 775 of the family's 1533-position model. Lineage: Bacteria; Pseudomonadati; Pseudomonadota; Alphaproteobacteria; Hyphomicrobiales; Hyphomicrobiaceae. The record is from RNAcentral.
CACGUAGGCGGAUUGCUAAGUCAGGGGUGAAAUCCCGGGGCUCAACCUCGGAACUGCCUUUGAUACUGACAGUCUUGAGUCCGGAAGAGGUGAGUGGAAUUCCUAGUGUAGAGGUGAAAUUCGUAGAUAUUAGGAAGAACACCAGUGGCGAAGGCGGCUCACUGGUCCGGUACUGACGCUGAGGUGCGAAAGCGUGGGGAGCAAACAG